GAAUUUGAGUUGUACAUGUGGUCACAUGAUCUACAUUCACAGAACUGACUGCACAAUGGAUUAAAAUGGCUUCCUGUGGUCUGAUGUGCUACUUCCUAAUUUGUCGUCGCUUUUCUCAAAUUUGCUGUAAUGGAGUUGAUCGUUUUCAUAGUGAUUCAGCUCCUGAUGGAGGUUCAGUCCUACACAUCCCCUACUGUAAAAAUAUCUCCAGAUGUCAUAAGAGAGUCCAGCUCAGUGAAGAUCAGCUGUGAGACGCCAAAUGUUACAGUGAAUCAGUGUUAUUUCAACACAAACAGUGAGGAGAAGAAUGUAAAAACCAGUUGGAGAUGUGAGCUGGAUCUCACUGGUGCUGAAGUGUUCAGAUGGGCAGCUGUAACAUCACCUGGAUCACUCGACAUUUACUGUUACUACACAAUACAUGGGAUUGAUAAACCAUCACGCCAUUCUCCUCCUGCCACAGUGACGGUUCUAGGUUCAUUGUUGAACCAUUCCAAGACAAACCUGUCAACAAGUACAACAAAAAAAACGAUGAUUUCCAUUACAAACUCCACUUUGCCUGGUAACAGUAGAAUAUCAGAACAUAUUUCAACAGAAGCGUCCACUCAAAAAGCUUCACAAAUACACACAUCAACAAUGGCUGUCACUUUCACAACAGCAUCCCCCAGAACAGCUGUUUCUAAUGUUCACACUUCAAUGGCUCAUCCGACAGAUCCACAAACAGGCACAUGGUUUUUAGUGCUGGUUUCCACUGGUGUUGCUGUAUUCUUGUCUGGACUCACAGGACUCAUCUGUCUGUGUCGGUUUGCAAGUCAAAAAAUAAGAAAACUAUCAAUAAAAAUGGAAGUGCCCAGUCAAGGAAUUAGUAUGAGUGGUUCUGGAUCUGCAGAUAUAUAUUCCCUGAUCACUUCUGUACCAGAAACAUCUCAGCCCAUAUCUGGAGGCCUCGAACACCCAGAGUCACAUCAGGAGAGCACAGCAGAUCCCACAGACACUCACUCUUUCAUUAUGUCUGUAAAUUCAGUUUACCAGCCAUCAGAUGUUUUAGUCAAUAAACAACAGAAACAGGAAAAUCCAGAGGAAAAUGAGAAUGUUUAUCACCUGUACUCCAUGAUCCCUGACAAACCAGUUCACUCAAAUGCAGAAGAUCACGUGUACAGUUUGGUGAAGAUGCACUGACAAAUCCCAUGUCUGUGUUCAUUAUGUAUUGCGACUAUAAUUAAAGUGUAUUUACUUUCAGACAAAAACAGUAGGUGUUUAUUUUUUUAUUAUUCAAUGUUUGGUGUGGAAUAUACUGUGACCUCAGUGAAUAUCCAGAGCAUCUUCUCUGGCAAACCCACUAGUACCACUUGUGGAGCUUGGGCAUUCAAUAAGAGCUGAACUAAAAUUGUAAUGAUAAAUGAAAUCUUUUACUUCUUUUCUAAAGAAAUUGAACCAUCUGAAGGUUUGAGCCAAAUGUUUUUUUUCUUAUAAGUUUGUUGUAUUUAAAAACGGCUUAAAUCAGUUUUUUCAAAUUCCAUCAUGUGACGUUAGCUUCUCCUCC
This 1540-nucleotide long non-coding RNA is filed under the name Sinocyclocheilus grahami. Its description in RNAcentral is "lncRNA (ENSSGRG00000014330.1)". Lineage: Eukaryota; Metazoa; Chordata; Actinopteri; Cypriniformes; Cyprinidae. The record is from RNAcentral.